GACGAACGCUGGCGGCGUGCUUAACACAUGCAAGUCGAACGGUGAACCUCUUCGGAGGGGAUCAGUGGCGAACGGGUGAGUAACACGUGGGCAACCUGCCCCCGGCUCUGGGAUAACUCCAAGAAAUUGGGGCUAAUACCGGAUGUUCACCGCUUCCCGCAUGGGUGGUGGUGGAAAGGGUUUCCGGCUGGGGAUGGGCCCGCGGCCUAUCAGCUUGUUGGUGGGGUAGUGGCCUACCAAGGCGACGACGGGUAGCCGGCCUGAGAGGGUGACCGGCCACACUGGGACUGAGACACGGCCCAGGCUCCUACGGGAGGCAGCAGUGGGGAAUAUUGCGCAAUGGGCGGAAGCCUGACGCAGCGACGCCGCGUGGGGGGUGACGGCCUUCGGGUUGUAAACCUCUUUCAGCAGGGACGAAGCGCAAGUGACGGUACCUGCAGAAGAAGCACCGGCCAACUACGUG
RNAcentral lists this ribosomal RNA (463 nucleotides) under uncultured bacterium. Its description in RNAcentral is "partial 16S ribosomal RNA". It matches the Rfam family "Bacterial small subunit ribosomal RNA", at positions 28 to 507 of the family's 1533-position model. The record is from RNAcentral.